This 573-nucleotide ribosomal RNA is filed under the name Campylobacter jejuni. RNAcentral's name for it is "partial 23S ribosomal RNA". It matches the Rfam family "Bacterial large subunit ribosomal RNA", at positions 1 to 587 of the family's 2925-position model. Lineage: Bacteria; Pseudomonadati; Campylobacterota; Epsilonproteobacteria; Campylobacterales; Campylobacteraceae. The record is from RNAcentral.
GAGAAAGUAAGCAAGGGCAGACGGUGGAUGCCUUGGCUCUCGGAGGCGACGAAGGACGUGAUAAGCUGCGAAAAGCUCGGGGGAGGCGCAAAUAGCCGUUGAUCCCGGGAUAUCCGAAUGGGGCAACCCGGCAGGCUGAAGGCCUGCCAUCCCGUAAGGGAGGCGAACGUGGGGAACUGAAACAUCUAAGUACCCAUAGGAGGAGAAAAUAAACAAUGAUUCCGUAAGUAGUGGCGAGCGAACACGGAAGAGCCCAAACCCGUGCCGUCUAGGCGACACGGGGGUUGUAGGACCACGACGUGGCAAGAUAGAGUCAAGUGGAACGCCUUGGAAAAGGCGGUCAUAGAGGGUGAAAACCCCGUACACGACUGACGAUUGAAGCCUAGUGGCAUCCUGAGUAGCGCGGGGCACGAGAAAUCUUGCGUGAAACAGCGGGGCCCAUCCCGUAAGGCUAAAUACUCCCGAGAGACCGAUAGCGAACCAGUACCGUGAGGGAAAGGUGAAAAGAACCCCGAGCAGGGGAGUGAAAUAGACCCUGAACCCGUCUGCCUACAAGCGGUCGGAGCAUAGCAA